CUUUUAGUUUUAACCUUCGCCCUCUUUUUCACCCCCAUCGUGUUCGUGUGUGUGUGUAUAUAUACUAGGGAAAGGUGUUUUGUUUGUUUUUUCUUUUUCAUUUGCAUUCACCCCCCAGAUCAAUCUUUCUUUGAUUGAGUUCAUUUACUUUUCCAGAAAAUGGCUGUUUCAUUUGAUUCUCUCUGUGAUCAAUUCUGUUGAAACAGUGCUCAUUGAUGACAAGGUUUGUUAAAAUUUACUAGUGAAUCAAAUUUAGUUUGUUCAUUUUUUGCUUACGUUAUAGUGGUGUUUUUAGUGUUUCAUGUUUGGUGGUAGGGUGGCAAGAUCCAUGCUAUGUGAGGAAGCAGUUGGUCUAUUAAUUUCAGCAAAAAUUGAUCGAAUACUGGUUCUUACCAUGCCACUCUGCAUCCCUAUAGUCUGUUUUUCCAGAUGUGGUACGGUAAGAAAGAACCAGUAUUCGAUCAAUUUUUUUGCUCGCUAUGUGAAUCCAGCUAUUCCUCCUCGCUAUGGUUUGUCUUUGAGUUCUAUUGGUGAAGUCUCUGCUCAUCCUACUGUCUAUGAGUACUUGGUUGGUCUUCAGUCUUCUAACUGGUUUGACAGUUGAAAGAGAGUACCUCAAAGAUGGCAAGGUCACCAAAAUGAUUGUUCUUGAGUUAACUGAACACAGUUCGUAAUUCCAGUUUCUUUGGUUGAACAUUUGUUAUGAUAUGUUUUUGUUUUGCUUAGUUGCAUUCUUUUUGUUGUGUUUUAACUUCCAUUUACUUUGUAAGGGGAAAUGCGAGCGUGUUUUGUUUGGGAAGAUUCCUGAUGUGAUGCCAAUUGUCGUUGUUCAAUUUGCCAAGGUUAAGGUCUUCAGGGGUAGGUUUUUCUUAGGCACUGUGUUUUGUGUUUUUAUUGUUUUGCAGAUUUUGCUUAGGUUUUGUGCUUAGUUUGGACUUAUUGUUCCAUGUUUUAGAUAAGACUUAUCUCCAAAAUGUUAUGGAUACAUCUAGGAUUUUGGUGAACCCUGACAUUGAAGUCUUGCUGUUCAUGGUCUUGAGACAAGUCAGCCUGUUUCUAUUCUUGGACCUUGUGCCAAACCAUCUUUGGAUGAGGAGUUUCUUUGCACCUAUCCUGUUAAUUAAGACCAUUUCUGGUUUGCUUGAGACGGUUGAUGAUGGAACUUUUUGUUGUUUCUGCAACUACUAUUGGUCUGGUGGAAGGUGAGGACUGGUGGUUUACUGCCUGUAAAUGCCAUAGGAGCGUGGCCCCAACUCCGGUGCUUAUUACUGCAGCAGAUUUGAGAAACAUGCCUACCAGAUGAUUCCCAUGUUUUCUCUUCGGUUUUCUUUUUCUUUUGAUGUUCUUUCCAAUUUGGUUCUUUACUAUUUUUCUUAUUUGUUUUUAUGCAACUGAUGGCACUGGUGAUACUGUUUUUGUCCUCUUUGAUGGUGAUAUUCACUAUCUUGUGGGAGAGCAAUGGGUUAGCUUGGUGUCUGCUGCAAGGGUAUUUGGUUUGGAUCUCCUAUCUUCUUUUUUGUUGUGGUUUUUGUUUUGAGCUCAUUGUAUUUCGUGAUACAUCUAUAAGUAGAUUUUUGCUAAUUGCACUUGGUGCUGCUGUACCUUUCAGGGUGAAUAUUUGUAUAUAUCCUAUUUGGGCUGGAGAGGAACUGCAUAAUCUUGUGAUAAAAUAUUUCAUGGGCGUUGCUACAUCCUUGGAAGGAAAGUAAACUUUUUCGAGAGAAGGGUGGUUGACAGAGAAAGAUGAGCCAAGUGUUUGCAAAUCCUGCUACAUUGAUGACUUCAAGUUCUUCUCAUGUGAGCAUGGAAGUCCUCAGUCUACAUCAACAAGGAUGUUGAACAGCAAACUCCCAAAGGCACGACAUCAAGUAAGUAUGCAUAUGGACUCAAAUUUCAUGUGAGAAAUGUCAAGAGGAUUGAUAAAAGAAAUAAAGAGGGUGCAGAGCAUGACAGUGCAUAAGAACAAUGGUGAAGGCACCAAAUAUAUUUUUUUUAAUGGAUAAAGGCACCAAGUAAAUGUUAAUUAUGUGUGUAUAGUUUGUGAUACAUUCAUCGGUUUUGUACUUAAAAGUUUUUGGUGUAAUUCAAAGUUGUAGUUUACUUGGAGCUAGUGAGUAAAAUAUGUUUUUUUUUACUCAGAUAAUAAAGUUAAAAAAAAUAUACUUGAUAUUUUCUAAUUGUCAAAAAUGCUCAUCAAUUUGCUCAAGUGUACUCACAACUUUAUCUGAUAUAUCAACCUGGCUCAUAAAAGCAUGCCAAAAAAACAAGAAAGUGUGAAAUUGUUAUGAACACGACUCAUAAUAGGAAUAGGAGUUCCUGCCGUCUGAUUAAACUCGAUGGCUGAGACUAUUUUAAUCAUAAAAUUGUGAAAUAUUAGAACCGUCCGAUCAUGAAUGAGUGGCUGAGAUUUAAUAUUGCAUUAAACUGUGUGAUAAACGUACGGCAGAGAAUCUAUAUCCUUCAUAAGCCAAGAAGUUCUCAAUCUUUCAUGUGAAUCAUUUGAUAAACUUAAAUCAUUAUCAAACCUUAAACCCCCUAAUAAGAUAAAUCAAAGUUCAUCU
This is a long non-coding RNA of Trifolium pratense (red clover), 2561 nucleotides long. RefSeq lists it as uncharacterized. Lineage: Eukaryota; Viridiplantae; Streptophyta; Magnoliopsida; Fabales; Fabaceae. The transcript has 4 exons. The record is from RefSeq and is a predicted model, not a curated record.